GACGAACGCUGGCGGCGCGCUUAACACAUGCAAGUCGAGCGGUAAGGCCCUUUCGGGGGUACACGAGCGGCGAACGGGUGAGUAACACGUGGGUGACCUGCCCUUAGCUCUGGGAUAAGCCUGGGAAACUGGGUCUAAUACCGGAUAUGACUCCAUGACGCAUGUUGUGGGGUGGAAAGCCUUGUGCGGCUAGGGAUGGGCCCACGGCCUAUCAGCUUGUUGGUGGGGUGAUGGCCUACCAAGGCGACGACGGGUAGCCGGCCUGAGAGGGCGACCGGCCACACUGGGACUGAGACACGGCCCAGACUCCUACGGGAGGCAGCAGUGGGGAAUCUUGCGCAAUGGGCGAAAGCCUGACGCAGCGACGCCGCGUGGGGAUGACGGCCUCGG
RNAcentral lists this ribosomal RNA (390 nucleotides) under uncultured bacterium. RNAcentral's name for it is "bacterial SSU rRNA". It matches the Rfam family "Bacterial small subunit ribosomal RNA", at positions 28 to 420 of the family's 1533-position model. The record is from RNAcentral.